UACGGGAGGCAGCAGUGGGGAAUUUUCCGCAAUGGGCGAAAGCCUGACGGAGCAAUACCGCGUGAGGGAGGAAGGCUCUUGGGUUGUAAACCUCUUUUCUCAGGGAAGAAGCUCUGACGGUACCUGAGGAAUCAGCAUCGGCUAACUCCGUGCCAGCAGCCGCGGUAAUACNGGAGGAUGCAAGCGUUAUCCGGAAUGAUUGGGCGUAAAGCGUCCGCAGGUGGCGAUUCAAGUMUGCUGUCAAAGGUCGGGGCUCAACCCUGAACAGGCGGUGGAAACUGAACAGCUAGAGUGCGGUAGGGGUAGAGGGAAUUCCCGGUGUAGCGGUGAAAUGCGUASAGAUCGGGAAGAACACCAGUGGCGAAAGCGCUCUACUAGGCCUGCACUGACACUCAGGGACGAAAGCUAGGGGAGCGAAUGGGAUUAKAUACCCCASUAGUCCUARCCCGUAAACKAUCGGAUACUASGCGUGGYUUGUMUCNGACCCCGAGCCGYGCCSGAGCUAACSCSUUAAGYMUYCCGCCUCGGGGAGUACGCGUCSCAAGCSYGAAACUCCAAMAAAAUUSAYGG
This 570-nucleotide ribosomal RNA is filed under the name uncultured bacterium. RNAcentral's name for it is "partial 16S ribosomal RNA". It matches the Rfam family "Bacterial small subunit ribosomal RNA", at positions 340 to 916 of the family's 1533-position model. The record is from RNAcentral.